This 253-nucleotide ribosomal RNA is filed under the name uncultured bacterium. RNAcentral describes it as "partial 16S ribosomal RNA". It matches the Rfam family "Bacterial small subunit ribosomal RNA", at positions 524 to 776 of the family's 1533-position model. The record is from RNAcentral.
UACGAGAGGCCCAAACGUUAUUCGGAAUUACUGGGCUUAAAGAGUUCGUAGGCGGCGCGGAAAGUGGGGUGUGAAAGCCCUCGGCUCAACCGAGGAAUUGCGCUCCAAACUGCCGUGCUUGAGGGACCUAGAGGUGAGCGGAACUGAUGGUGGAGCGGUGAAAUGCGUUGAUAUCAUCAGGAACACCGGUGGCGAAGGCGGCAUCCUGGACCGGCAUUGACGCUGAGGCGCGAAAGCUAGGGGAGCAAACGGG